AGUUUGUGAAGUAUGUUUCUUAAGAAAAAUCUCUGAACAUAUGAACUCCAUAGUGAUUUCAGUGCAUUACUGAGGGAAGCU
Small nucleolar RNA from Catharus ustulatus (Swainson's thrush), 81 nucleotides. RefSeq annotates it as small nucleolar RNA SNORD72. The transcript has a single exon. The record is from RefSeq and is a predicted model, not a curated record. NCBI's taxonomy places the organism in Eukaryota, Metazoa, Chordata, Aves, Passeriformes, Turdidae.